UUACAUUUAAUGUAUCCUAGCAUAUAAAAUUUUGAAUUUGACAGAAUUAAUUAGAUUAAUAAUGUAAC
This 68-nucleotide transfer RNA is filed under the name Tetragonula pagdeni. Its description in RNAcentral is "tRNA-Gln". RNAcentral also lists the same sequence under 1 other name. The record is from RNAcentral. Lineage: Eukaryota; Metazoa; Arthropoda; Insecta; Hymenoptera; Apidae.